This 165-nucleotide ribosomal RNA is filed under the name Picris hieracioides. RNAcentral's name for it is "5.8S ribosomal RNA". It matches the Rfam family "5.8S ribosomal RNA". From Rfam's summary of the family: 5.8S ribosomal RNA (5.8S rRNA) is a component of the large subunit of the eukaryotic ribosome. It is transcribed by RNA polymerase I as part of the 45S precursor that also contains 18S and 28S rRNA. Lineage: Eukaryota; Viridiplantae; Streptophyta; Magnoliopsida; Asterales; Asteraceae. The record is from RNAcentral.
ACAAACGACUCUCGGCAACGGAUAUCUCGGCUCACGCAUCGAUGAAGAACGUAGCAAAAUGCGAUACUUGGUGUGAAUUGCAGAAUCCCGUGAACCAUCGAGUUUUUGAACGCAAGUUGCGCCCGAAGCCAUUCGGUCGAGGGCACGCCUGCCUGGGCGUCACGC